UCUCCUGCUGAUUGGAAUAACUUACCUGCUACCAUCAGAUCUCUCCCUACUCUGACUUUGUUCAAGCGUGCAUUGUCGUCUCACCUCAAGGUUGAAUGUUUUUGUAUGACCUGAAGUACUUUAUUUAUUGUUUAAGGGUUGUUGAGGCUCCAUCUUAUUUCACCAUCUCCUCAUGAGAUGACCCACCUAUUGCCCAUUUCUAAGUCUUUAUUUCUAAGUCUUUAUUGUUAUGAUUUUGUAUAUAUAGUACAGCUACUCUACUUUACUCUACCCAAUGAUAUGCAUUCAAUGUAACCGCCUAUAAUGUAUUACCAUGUGCUGUAUGCUUAGGCUGAAUGUUUGUAAUUUCUUGGUUAUUUCUUCCGAUGUAUGUGUGUGAAUGUUGUUUGUAUGUUGUACUUGUUUGUUAUUUGUUUUCUUGGGACCCCCUUGAAAACGAGG
Notothenia coriiceps (black rockcod) is the source of this 441-nucleotide long non-coding RNA. RefSeq lists it as uncharacterized. The transcript has 3 exons. NCBI's taxonomy places the organism in Eukaryota, Metazoa, Chordata, Actinopteri, Perciformes, Nototheniidae. The record is from RefSeq and is a predicted model, not a curated record.